AGAGUUUGAUCCUGGCUCAGGGUGAACGCUGGCGGUAUGGAUAAGGCACGCAAGUCAAGGGGGCCGCAAGGCAACCGGCAGACGAGGCAGUAAUGCACAGGAACAUACCUCAUAGUCGUGCAUAGUCCCGCGAAAGCGGGGGUAAUUCACGAUAUCUCGCAAGAGGAAAGAUUUAUCGCUAUGAGAGUGGCCUGUGUUGUAUCAGCUAGUUGGUGAGGUAACGGCUCACCAAGGCUACGACGCAUAGGGGGGCUGAGAGGCUGAUCCCCGCCGAUCGGACUGAGACACGGCCGAUACUCCUACGGGAGGCAGCAGCCGAGAAUAUUCGACAAUGGGCGAAAGCCUGAUCGAGCGAUACCGCGUGGUGGAUGAAGCGCUUCGGCGCGUAAACAUCUUUUAUCGGAGAAGAAAUAAAUGACGGUACCCGAUGAAUAAGGGGCUCCUAACUCUGUGCCAGCAGGAGCGGUAAUACAGAGGCCCCAAGCGUUACCCGGAGUUACUGGGCGUAAAGAGUGCGUAGGUGGUUGUAUUAGUCGAUCGUUAAAUCCUCGGGGCUCAACCCUGAGAAUCCGAUCGAAACGGUACAACUCGAGGGAGUGAGAGGUGCAUGGAACUCAUGGUGUAGGGGUGAAAUCCGUUGAUAUCAUGGGGAACACCGAAAGCGAAGGCAGUGCACUGGCACUUUCCUGACACUCAAGCACGAAAGCGUGGGUAGCGAACGGGAUUAGAUACCCUGGUAGUCG
RNAcentral lists this ribosomal RNA (743 nucleotides) under uncultured bacterium. RNAcentral describes it as "bacterial SSU rRNA". It matches the Rfam family "Bacterial small subunit ribosomal RNA", at positions 8 to 796 of the family's 1533-position model. The record is from RNAcentral.